UCCUGGCAGCCGUCGCUGCCGCCAAAGCAAACCGGCCACCGCGCUUGAGAGGACGACGCCUCUACGCACACCGCCGUCCCACCGACGCAUCAUUCCACGCCAAAAACCCUAGCAAAUUUGAUUGGUCUCCCGCGCGGCGGCGAUGGAGGAGGAGGAGGAGAAGUAGAGAGCACCGCCAAUUCCACCCCCCGUCUCCGCGGAGGAGAUGACGCGAGCACGGCCACACCGUCCUUCGCCGACAUCGUGCUAUCCCUCGCAGUGUUUCACAUGUCGUAAAAGGGACCAAGAUGAUGAGAUAAGGUUCGUUAGGGGAUCCAAAGGUAGGGGAUGAAGGAGAUAUGGAAAUGGGGAUCGAAGAGGAGAAUUGUAGCUUGACUAGAGCCGCAGAAAGAGAGACACGGGCUGUCCGUCCCAGUUUCCAGUACGGCUGGCCCACCCACCUCUUACAGUUUAAGCUACAGGCUGUUAUGAAGUAAAAGCUGGGGAGGUACAGUUUCGGCCACUAUGUGAGGGAAGAUGAGAACACUUGAUCAAGCAGUAGCAAUUGGGGCAUGUAGGUUCCAUCGGGCACUCAGCGAGAUGCAAUCUUCACGUGACAUUUUGGCCGACCUUUUAUGAUGGAUCGCUGGGGGGAAGGAUUGUAAAAGUUUCAAGCGUCAACAAAUUGUGUCCCUGUGGAGAAGAGGGAUCAGACUAAAGCUGUGGCCUUGGUAGGGUAAGUAUUCGAACGAGAUGUUAUGCGGCAAGGGCAUUCCUAGACGUCGUCACCUCCCAUCGGCCACCCAUAUAUUUUCAUUGUUUAGUCGGGAUAUUUUCCGAGUAAAAUCUGCAUCUCCCAGCCGUCCGGAUUCUUUACUGGAAAGGGGGAAAGACGAGGAGGACGCAUAUGCCACCUUUCACGGCCGUGGGGUGAUGAAAAUGGCUGCUCCUAUUGGAUGAUGGAGAAAGGCACCGCACAAGAUAACGUCUAGGGGCCUACGUACACCCGGCGACCACAUCCCAUCGGCCCAGGUCUUCGGUACCACCACUCUCAUGUCUCUGCCUCCUGCUAACCACUAAGCAGUGAAUUAGGGUAACAUCUCUCUCUCUGUCUCUCUCUCUCAUGUUUAUCUUUUGUACAAAUGAUGAAAGCAAAUGCCUGUCCUUUUCAAGACGUAAUAUAAACCCAUUAAGGUACUAUUGGCAUCCCUUUCAUUAAAAAAUCAAUCGUGUAAGCCUUGUUUAAUCCAUGUUCAACUGUUUGAAUCCUAAUCAAACUGGUCAGUAUCGAUUAGGACUAAACAUGGGAUGGACUAGGAGCAGUGACAAGUCUCCAAGCCGCUUGGCUUGCUUUCUCUAAAACUCUUCUUAAUAGAUGAAUUAGGCAAAGCUUUUGCCUUGUUUAAAAAAAAGAUACAUCUUCAGAUUGGAGGCCAUGUACAAGUACAAUACAGUAACUAUUUUUUGUUCCAACUUACUUCCACUAUAAGAUGUUAUUACAUCCAAUAUAGUUUUAUAUUCGUUGUAAUAACAUCUUGUAUUAUGGAUUGGAGAGAGUAAUUUAUAACCUCUGGGUGACCUUGAAGAUCAAUGUGCCUUUGUCCGUCUUGGGCGAGCUUACAUGUGUCUCAUUUUUAUUCCCGAAAAUCAUGAGGGGCACUACCUCUCGCCGCCACCACACUAAGAAGAAAAGAGGGUCUUGAAGCCGGCACCAGUUUGGUAGGGAUAGAACCGGGGUGUAAUUGUAUUGCGAGGGUUCUGAUACGCUAAAUUUAGAUCAACGAACCAUGUAAAAUUGACUGAAAGUCAAGAUUUAUUUUAGUGGAUUGUUCAUAUAUAAAUCAUACAUAAAGGAAAAUGCACAUAUUAUAGCUUGAGUUGAGGGCAGCAAUGAUUUCCCUUUUUCUUUUUUUUAUUGAUUGUUCGAUAGGUGCUGAAGUUGGUGUCUCUAGUUACCAGAGAUUUAGAAAAGAGGGAGCAUUUGUUAGUUGAAGCUAGAUGACGUGAGGACCGC
Molecule: long non-coding RNA, 1993 nt
Organism: Lolium perenne
Lineage: Eukaryota; Viridiplantae; Streptophyta; Magnoliopsida; Poales; Poaceae
Source: RefSeq, a predicted model, not a curated record